Molecule: ribosomal RNA, 418 nt
Filed under: uncultured beta proteobacterium
Lineage: Bacteria; Pseudomonadati; Pseudomonadota; Betaproteobacteria
Description: bacterial SSU rRNA
Rfam family: Bacterial small subunit ribosomal RNA
Source: RNAcentral
GGCGGCAUGCCUUACACAUGCAAGUCGAACGGCAGCACGGGGGCAACCCUGGUGGCGAGUGGCGAACGGGUGAGUAAUACAUCGGAACGUGUCCUGUAGUGGGGGAUAGCCCGGCGAAAGCCGGAUUAAUACCGCAUACGCUCUACGGAGGAAAGGGGGGGAUCGCAAGACCUCCCGCUACAGGGGCGGCCGAUGGCAGAUUAGCUAGUUGGUGGGGUAAAGGCCUACCAAGGCGACGAUCUGUAGCUGGUCUGAGAGGACGACCAGCCACACUGGGACUGAGACACGGCCCAGACUCCUACGGGAGGCAGCAGUGGGGAAUUUUGGACAAUGGGGGAAACCCUGAUCCAGCAAUGCCGCGUGUGUGAAGAAGGCCUUCGGGUUGUAAAGCACUUUUGUCCGGAAAGAAAUCCUCUUC